RNAcentral lists this transfer RNA (72 nucleotides) under Bacteroidota bacterium. RNAcentral describes it as "tRNA-Trp". It matches the Rfam family "tRNA". From Rfam's summary of the family: Transfer RNA (tRNA) molecules are approximately 80 nucleotides in length. Their secondary structure includes four short double-helical elements and three loops (D, anti-codon, and T loops). RNAcentral also lists the same sequence under 3 other names. The record is from RNAcentral. Lineage: Bacteria; Pseudomonadati; Bacteroidota.
ACGGGAAUAGUUCAACGGUUAGAAUAGAGGUCUCCAAAACCUUUGAUCUGGGUUCGAAUCCUAGUUCCCGUG